Molecule: small nuclear RNA, 20 nt
Filed under: Arabidopsis thaliana (thale cress)
Lineage: Eukaryota; Viridiplantae; Streptophyta; Magnoliopsida; Brassicales; Brassicaceae
Description: snRNA_01980
Source: RNAcentral
CUUCAAUGUCAUUAAUGAAA